CUGAAAAAUAGGGCAAAGUAAAGAAAACCUCUAAACAGCUUCCAAGACACACUUUGCUUUUGAAAGUUAGUGAAAUUCUAAAACUGUGUUCUAGUCUGUCUCUGCACCAAAUACCUGCCAUCUCCCAUUUGGACACCACUGAAAAAUAGGGCAAAGUAAAGAAAACCUCUAAACAGCUUCCAAGACACACUUUGCUUUUGAAAGUUAGUGAAAUUCUAAAACUGUGUUCUAGUCUGUCUCUGCACCAAAUACCUGCCAUCUCCCAUUUGGACACCACUGAAAAAUAGGGCAAAGUAAAGAAAACCUCUAAACAGCUUCCAAGACACACUUUGCUUUUGAAAGUUAGUGAAAUUCUAAAACUGUGUUCUAGUCUGUCUCUGCACCAAAUACCUGCCAUCUCCCAUUUGGACACCACUGAAAAAUAGGGCAAAGUAAAGAAAACCUCUAAACAGCUUCCAAGACACACUUUGCUUUUGAAAGUUAGUGAAAUUCUAAAACUGUGUUCUAGUCUGUCUCUGCACCAAAUACCUGCCAUCUCCCAUUUGGACACCACUGAAAAAUAGGGCAAAGUAAAGAAAACCUCUAAACAGCUUCCAAGACACACUUUGCUUUUGAAAGUUAGUGAAAUUCUAAAACUGUGUUCUAGUCUGUCUCUGCACCAAAUACCUGCCAUCUCCCAUUUGGACACCACUGAAAAAUAGGGCAAAGUAAAGAAAACCUCUAAACAGCUUCCAAGACACACUUUGCUUUUGAAAGUUAGUGAAAUUCUAAAACUGUGUUCUAGUCUGUCUCUGCACCAAAUACCUGCCAUCUCCCAUUUGGACACCACUGAAAAAUAGGGCAAAGUAAAGAAAACCUCUAAACAGCUUCCAAGACACACUUUGCUUUUGAAAGUUAGUGAAAUUCUAAAACUGUGUUCUAGUCUGUCUCUGCACCAAAUACCUGCCAUCUCCCAUUUGGACACCACUGAAAAAUAGGGCAAAGUAAAGAAAACCUCUAAACAGCUUCCAAGACACACUUUGCUUUUGAAAGUUAGUGAAAUUCUAAAACUGUGUUCUAGUCUGUCUCUGCACCAAAUACCUGCCAUCUCCCAUUUGGACACCACUGAAAAAUAGGGCAAAGUAAAGAAAACCUCUAAACAGCUUCCAAGACACACUUUGCUUUUGAAAGUUAGUGAAAUUCUAAAACUGUGUUCUAGUCUGUCUCUGCACCAAAUACCUGCCAUCUCCCAUUUGGACACCACUGAAAAAUAGGGCAAAGUAAAGAAAACCUCUAAACAGCUUCCAAGACACACUUUGCUUUUGAAAGUUAGUGAAAGUAUGUAUUGACACUGGUACACAUAAACUGUUGUCUAAUUGCUUGAAGAGACCCUUGCUUGGAAAACCCAGCCUCUCAGACAGGUUUGCCAGCAGCCAUACCCUCUCAAAAGCCUUUCUUUUCUGUCUUGCAUUGCUUCAAAUACUA
Molecule: long non-coding RNA, 1464 nt
Organism: Protopterus annectens (West African lungfish)
Lineage: Eukaryota; Metazoa; Chordata; Ceratodontiformes; Protopteridae
Exons: 10
Source: RefSeq, a predicted model, not a curated record